RNAcentral lists this ribosomal RNA (458 nucleotides) under uncultured bacterium. RNAcentral's name for it is "partial 16S ribosomal RNA". It matches the Rfam family "Bacterial small subunit ribosomal RNA", at positions 338 to 795 of the family's 1533-position model. The record is from RNAcentral.
CCUACGGGAGGCAGCAGUGGGGAAUAUUGCACAAUGGGCGCAAGCCUGAUGCAGCGACGCCGCGUGCGGGAUGGAGGCCUUCGGGUUGUAAACCGCUUUUGUUCAAGGGCAAGGCACGGUCUUUGGCCGUGUUGAGUGGAUUGUUCGAAUAAGCACCGGCUAACUACGUGCCAGCAGCCGCGGUAAUACGUAGGGUGAAAGCGUUAUCCGGAUUUAUGGGGCGUCAAGUGCUCGUGGGAUGUUCGUCGCGUAGGGUUGGAAAUUCCAGCGGUUAACGGUGGAUCCGCCCCGGGUACGGGCGGGCUUGAGUGCGGUAGGGGAGACUGGAAUUCCCGGUGUAACGGUGGAAUGUGUAGAUAUCGGGAAGAACACCAAUGGCGAAGGCAGGUCUCUGGGCCGUUACUGACGCUGAGGAGCGAAAGCGUGGGGAGCGAACAGGAUUAGAUACCCGAGUAGUC